ACGCAUCAGGGGCAAAGGCGACAACUGCACCACUUAACUCAAGAUAUCGUGAAUCCGAUAAUACCCGAGUGGAGACAAGGUACUUAUCCGGAAUUGGUCGAAUCUUUUUGAGUGCAAGUUGACAUUCAUCGUCGGCAUAUUCAGCAUAAUUGAUGGGGAAAGAACGAACUUUGAACUUUUUAGCCUCGUCAAAAGGAACAACAGAGUCCAUGACAUGAUUAAACAGAUGAAAUGUGAACCUUGCAGGAGUGGCAGCAUUCAAAACUGCAAAGUACAAAGGAUUAAAUAAGUCGCUGCCAUUAUUAAAAGUUGGAAGAGAAUCGUGAGCAUUAUUAGAAAGGGGAAAAC
This is a non-coding RNA of Schizosaccharomyces pombe (fission yeast), 348 nucleotides long. The record is from the annotation of a GenBank genome assembly. Lineage: Eukaryota; Fungi; Ascomycota; Schizosaccharomycetes; Schizosaccharomycetales; Schizosaccharomycetaceae.